ACCAAUUCUGGGGGAUAAUCUGUUCCUCUUGGCAUAAUGGCUCGGGCGCAAGAUUCCAAUGUGGCUAUCCUGAUCAAUGUGUUUUUCUAUCCGUACCAUUAGAUCCCGGAAACACCACAGAAAUUC
Molecule: small nucleolar RNA, 126 nt
Organism: Andrographis paniculata
Lineage: Eukaryota; Viridiplantae; Streptophyta; Magnoliopsida; Lamiales; Acanthaceae
Source: RefSeq, a predicted model, not a curated record